This 2895-nucleotide ribosomal RNA is filed under the name Escherichia coli. Its description in RNAcentral is "bacterial LSU rRNA". It matches the Rfam family "Bacterial large subunit ribosomal RNA". The record is from RNAcentral. Lineage: Bacteria; Pseudomonadati; Pseudomonadota; Gammaproteobacteria; Enterobacterales; Enterobacteriaceae.
ACUAAGCGUACACGGUGGAUGCCCUGGCAGUCAGAGGCGAUGAAGGACGUGCUAAUCUGCGAUAAGCGUCGGUAAGGUGAUAUGAACCGUUAUAACCGGCGAUUUCCGAAUGGGGAAACCCAGUGUGUUUCGACACACUAUCAUUAACUGAAUCCAUAGGUUAAUGAGGCGAACCGGGGGAACUGAAACAUCUAAGUACCCCGAGGAAAAGAAAUCAACCGAGAUUCCCCCAGUAGCGGCGAGCGAACGGGGAGCAGCCCAGAGCCUGAAUCAGUGUGUGUGUUAGUGGAAGCGUCUGGAAAGGCGCGCGAUACAGGGUGACAGCCCCGUACACAAAAAUGCACAUGCUGUGAGCUCGAUGAGUAGGGCGGGACACGUGGUAUCCUGUCUGAAUAUGGGGGGACCAUCCUCCAAGGCUAAAUACUCCUGACUGACCGAUAGUGAACCAGUACCGUGAGGGAAAGGCGAAAAGAACCCCGGCGAGGGGAGUGAAAAAGAACCUGAAACCGUGUACGUACAAGCAGUGGGAGCACAGAGCAAUCUGUGUGACUGCGUACCUUUUGUAUAAUGGGUCAGCGACUUAUAUUCUGUAGCAAGGUUAACCGAAUAGGGGAGCCGAAGGGAAACCGAGUCUUAACUGGGCGUUAAGUUGCAGGGUAUAGACCCGAAACCCGGUGAUCUAGCCAUGGGCAGGUUGAAGGUUGGGUAACACUAACUGGAGGACCGAACCGACUAAUGUUGAAAAAUUAGCGGAUGACUUGUGGCUGGGGGUGAAAGGCCAAUCAAACCGGGAGAUAGCUGGUUCUCCCCGAAAGCUAUUUAGGUAGCGCCUCGUGAAUUCAUCUCCGGGGGUAGAGCACUGUUUCGGCAAGGGGGUCAUCCCGACUUACCAACCCGAUGCAAACUACGAAUACCGGAGAAUGUUAUCACGGGAGACACACGGCGGGUGCUAACGUCCGUCGUGAAGAGGGAAACAACCCAGACCGCCAGCUAAGGUCCCAAAGUCAUGGUUAAGUGGGAAACGAUGUGGGAAGGCCCAGACAGCCAGGAUGUUGGCUUAGAAGCAGCCAUCAUUUAAAGAAAGCGUAAUAGCUCACUGGUCGAGUCGGCCUGCGCGGAAGAUGUAACGGGGCUAAACCAUGCACCGAAGCUGCGGCAGCGACGCUGAUGCGUUGUUGGGUAGGGGAGCGUUCUGUAAGCCUGCGAAGGUGUGCUGUGAGGCAUGCUGGAGGUAUCAGAAGUGCGAAUGCUGACAUAAGUAACGAUAAAGCGGGUGAAAAGCCCGCUCGCCGGAAGACCAAGGGUUCCUGUCCAACGUUAAUCGGGGCAGGGUGAGUCGACCCCUAAGGCGAGGCCGAAAGGCGUAGUCGAUGGGAAACAGGUUAAUAUUCCUGUACUUGGUGUUACUGCGAAGGGGGGACGGAGAAGGCUAUGUUGGCCGGGCGACGGUUGUCCCGGUUUAAGCGUGUAGGCUGGUUUUCCAGGCAAAUCCGGAAAAUCAAGGCUGAGGCGUGAUGACGAGGCACUACGGUGCUGAAGCAACAAAUGCCCUGCUUCCAGGAAAAGCCUCUAAGCAUCAGGUAACAUCAAAUCGUACCCCAAACCGACACAGGUGGUCAGGUAGAGAAUACCAAGGCGCUUGAGAGAACUCGGGUGAAGGAACUAGGCAAAAUGGUGCCGUAACUUCGGGAGAAGGCACGCUGAUAUGUAGGUGAAGUCCCUCGCGGAUGGAGCUGAAAUCAGUCGAAGAUACCAGCUGGCUGCAACUGUUUAUUAAAAACACAGCACUGUGCAAACACGAAAGUGGACGUAUACGGUGUGACGCCUGCCCGGUGCCGGAAGGUUAAUUGAUGGGGUUAGCGCAAGCGAAGCUCUUGAUCGAAGCCCCGGUAAACGGCGGCCGUAACUAUAACGGUCCUAAGGUAGCGAAAUUCCUUGUCGGGUAAGUUCCGACCUGCACGAAUGGCGUAAUGAUGGCCAGGCUGUCUCCACCCGAGACUCAGUGAAAUUGAACUCGCUGUGAAGAUGCAGUGUACCCGCGGCAAGACGGAAAGACCCCGUGAACCUUUACUAUAGCUUGACACUGAACAUUGAGCCUUGAUGUGUAGGAUAGGUGGGAGGCUUUGAAGUGUGGACGCCAGUCUGCAUGGAGCCGACCUUGAAAUACCACCCUUUAAUGUUUGAUGUUCUAACGUGGACCCGUAAUCCGGGUUGCGGACAGUGUCUGGUGGGUAGUUUGACUGGGGCGGUCUCCUCCUAAAGAGUAACGGAGGAGCACGAAGGUUGGCUAAUCCUGGUCGGACAUCAGGAGGUUAGUGCAAUGGCAUAAGCCAGCUUGACUGCGAGCGUGACGGCGCGAGCAGGUGCGAAAGCAGGUCAUAGUGAUCCGGUGGUUCUGAAUGGAAGGGCCAUCGCUCAACGGAUAAAAGGUACUCCGGGGAUAACAGGCUGAUACCGCCCAAGAGUUCAUAUCGACGGCGGUGUUUGGCACCUCGAUGUCGGCUCAUCACAUCCUGGGGCUGAAGUAGGUCCCAAGGGUAUGGCUGUUCGCCAUUUAAAGUGGUACGCGAGCUGGGUUUAGAACGUCGUGAGACAGUUCGGUCCCUAUCUGCCGUGGGCGCUGGAGAAUUGAGGGGGGCUGCUCCUAGUACGAGAGGACCGGAGUGGACGCAUCACUGGUGUUCGGGUUGUCAUGCCAAUGGCACUGCCCGGUAGCUAAAUGCGGAAGAGAUAAGUGCUGAAAGCAUCUAAGCACGAAACUUGCCCCGAGAUGAGUUCUCCCUGACUCCUUGAGAGUCCUGAAGGAACGUUGAAGACGACGACGUUGAUAGGCCGGGUGUGUAAGCGCAGCGAUGCGUUGAGCUAACCGGUACUAAUGAACCGUGAGGCUUAACC